GGUGCAAGUCGUCUUGUCGCUGUCUCGCAAGGGAGAGAGGAAAGUCCGGGCAACGCAGAGCGCCAUACUUCCUAACGGGAAGGGUGCUGACUGGGAACGGUCAGUAUACAGCUAGUGCCACAGAAAAUAAACCGUCCGACCCGAUUUCUAUCGGGAUGGAUAAGGGUGAAAAGGUGGGGUAAGAGCCCACCGGGCUGAUGGUGACAUCAGUUGCAUGGCAAACCUUAUGGGUUGAAAGAUCAAAUAGGCCCCGGACGAAGAGCUGCUCGUUCGAUUCCGAUUCGUCGGAAAUCCGGGGCGGGUAGAUCGAUUGAGCCUGCGCGCGAGUUCAGGCCUAGAUAAAUGACAAGAAUCCCGCAAGGGAAACAGAACCCGGCUUACAGACUUGCACUUUUU
This 396-nucleotide RNase P RNA is filed under the name Algoriphagus sp. RNAcentral's name for it is "RNase P RNA component class A". It matches the Rfam family "Bacterial RNase P class A". From Rfam's summary of the family: Ribonuclease P (RNase P) is a ubiquitous endoribonuclease, found in archaea, bacteria and eukarya as well as chloroplasts and mitochondria. Its best characterised activity is the generation of mature 5'-ends of tRNAs by cleaving the 5'-leader elements of precursor-tRNAs. Cellular RNase Ps are ribonucleoproteins. The record is from RNAcentral. Lineage: Bacteria; Pseudomonadati; Bacteroidota; Cytophagia; Cytophagales; Cyclobacteriaceae.